Molecule: ribosomal RNA, 253 nt
Filed under: uncultured bacterium
Lineage: Bacteria
Description: partial 16S ribosomal RNA
Rfam family: Bacterial small subunit ribosomal RNA
Source: RNAcentral
UACGUAGGGGGCAAGCGUUGUCCGGAUUUAUUGGGCGUAAAGAGCGUGUAGGCGGUUUUACAGGUCCGUUGUGAAAACUCGAGGCUUAACCUCGAGCUGUCGGCGGAAACCAUCUGGCUAGAGUCCGGAAGAGGAGAAUGGAAUUCCCGGUGUAGCGGUGAAAUGCGCAGAUAUCGGGAAGAACACCCGUGGCGAAGGCGGUUCUCUGGGACGGUACUGACGCUGAGACGCGAAAGCGUGGGGAGCGAACAGG